This 492-nucleotide ribosomal RNA is filed under the name uncultured bacterium. Its description in RNAcentral is "partial 16S ribosomal RNA". It matches the Rfam family "Bacterial small subunit ribosomal RNA", at positions 29 to 507 of the family's 1533-position model. The record is from RNAcentral.
AGUGAACGCUGGCGGUAGGCCUAACACAUGCAAGUCGAACGGCAGCACAGUAAGAGCUUGCUCUUACGGGUGGCGAGUGGCGGACGGGUGAGGAAUACAUCGGAAUCUACUUUUUCGUGGGGGAUAACGUAGGGAAACUUACGCUAAUACCGCAUACGACCUACGGGUGAAAGCAGGGGAUCUUCGGACCUUGCGCGAUUGAAUGAGCCGAUGUCGGAUUAGGUAGUUGGCUGGGUAAAGGCCCACCAAGGGAAGGAUACGCAGCCGGUCUGGGAGGAUGGUCGCCCCCCCGGGGACGUGACCCGCGUCCAAGCCACCGAGGGAGGGACCAGGGGGGAACGUUGGGCAAUGGGGGGAAACCUUGCCCAAGCCACCCGCGUUGGGUGAAGAAGCCCUGCGGUUUGUAAACCCUUUUUUUGGGGAAAAACAGACGUCGGAUUAACCCCCCCGUUUUUGACGGUACCCAAUAAAAAAGCCCCGGCUAACUACGUG